This 524-nucleotide ribosomal RNA is filed under the name uncultured bacterium. RNAcentral describes it as "partial 16S ribosomal RNA". It matches the Rfam family "Bacterial small subunit ribosomal RNA", at positions 28 to 523 of the family's 1533-position model. The record is from RNAcentral.
GACGAACGCUGGCGGCGUGCCUAAUACAUGCAAGUCGAGCGCAGGAAACUGACGGAACUCUUCGGAGGGAAGGCAGUGGAAUGAGCGGCGGACGGGUGAGUAACACGUAAGGAACCUGCCUCAAGGAUUGGGAUAACUCCGAGAAAUCGGAGCUAAUACCGGAUAGUUCAACGGACCGCAUGGUCCGCUGAUGAAAGGCGCUUCGGCGUCACCUUGAGAUGGCCUUGCGGUGCAUUAGCUAGUUGGUGGGGUAACGGCCCACCAAGGCGACGAUGCAUCGCCGACCUGAGAGGGUGAUCGGCCACACUGGGACUGAGACACGGCCCAGACUCCUACGGGAGGCAGCAGUAGGGAAUCUUCCACAAUGGACGAAAGUCUGAUGGAGCAACGCCGUGUGAGUGAUGAAGGUUUUCGGAUCGUAAAACUCUGUUGUAAGGGAAGAACACGUACGAGAGGGAAUGCUCGUACCUUGACGGUACCUUACGAGAAAGCCACGGCUAACUACGUGCCAGCAGCCGCCGCAG